GACGAACGCUGGCGGCGUGCUUAACACAUGCAAGUCGAACGAUGAAGCGGUGCUUGCACCGUGGAUUAGUGGCGAACGGGUGAGUAAUACGUGAGUGACCUACCUUUGACUCUGGGAUAAGCCUGGGAAACUGGGUCUAAUACCGGAUACGACCAAUCUCUGCAUGGGGUGUUGGUGGAAAGCGUUAUGGAGUGGUUUUAGAUGGGCUCACGGCUUAUCAGCUUGUUGGUGAGGUAAUGGCUUACCAAGGCGACGACGGGUAGCCGGCCUGAGAGGGUGACCGGCCACACUGGGACUGAGACACGGCCCAGACUCCUACGGGAGGCAGCAGUGGGGAAUAUUGCACAAUGGGCGCAAGCCUGAUGCAGCGACGCCGCGUGAGGGAUGACGGCCUUCGGGUUGUAAACCUCUGUUAGCAUCGAAGAAGCGAAAGUGACGGUAGGUGCAGAGAAAGCGCCGGCUAACUACGUG
This 471-nucleotide ribosomal RNA is filed under the name uncultured bacterium. Its description in RNAcentral is "partial 16S ribosomal RNA". It matches the Rfam family "Bacterial small subunit ribosomal RNA", at positions 28 to 507 of the family's 1533-position model. The record is from RNAcentral.